GAUGAACGCUGGCGGCGUGCCUCAAACAUGCAAGUCGAGCGGGGCUAUGUAAUAUCGCAAGGUAGAACAUAGCCUAGCGGCGAACGGGUGAGUAACACGUGGGUAACCUGCCUGGAAGACAGGGAUAACGAUUCGAAAGGGUCGCUAAUACCUGAUAAUAUCCUUUCAUCGCAUGGUGAUAGGAAGAAAGGGGAAACCCGCUUUCAGAUGGGCCCGCGUCCCAUCAGCUAGUUGGUAAGGUAAAGGCUUACCAAGGCGACGACGGGUAGCCGGUCUGAGAGGAUGUACGGCCACACUGGGACUGAGAUACGGCCCAGACUCCUACGGGAGGCAGCAGUUGGGAAUCUUAGGCAAUGGACGAAAGUCUGACCUAGCGACGCCGCGUGAGGAGAAGCCUUCGGUGUAACUCUGUCAUGGGGAGAAGUAAGUGACGGUACCCCAAGAGGAAGCCCCUGCUAACUACGUG
RNAcentral lists this ribosomal RNA (466 nucleotides) under uncultured bacterium. Its description in RNAcentral is "bacterial SSU rRNA". It matches the Rfam family "Bacterial small subunit ribosomal RNA", at positions 28 to 507 of the family's 1533-position model. The record is from RNAcentral.